CAGUAAAAAAGCAAAAGACAAUGUUUAUCAAUUCAGUAAAUACAUAUUGGUGGUGGCGCUCUCAACUUCAAAAGUCGUGAGUCAAAAUUGGUAUGUAUAAUAUUCUGAAAUGAUUGAAUAUAAAAAACAAAAAGCCUGUC
Non-coding RNA from Bacteroidales bacterium 45-6, 140 nucleotides. The record is from Rfam. NCBI's taxonomy places the organism in Bacteria, Pseudomonadati, Bacteroidota, Bacteroidia, Bacteroidales.